Molecule: ribosomal RNA, 450 nt
Filed under: uncultured bacterium
Lineage: Bacteria
Description: partial 16S ribosomal RNA
Rfam family: Bacterial small subunit ribosomal RNA
Source: RNAcentral
GUGGGGAAUAUUGGACAAUGGGCGAAAGCCUGAUCCAGCCAUGCCGCGUGUGUGAAGAAGGUCUUCGGAUUGUAAAGCACUUUAAGUUGGGAGGAAGGGCAGUAAGUUAAUACCUUGCUGUUUUGACGUUACCGACAGAAUAAGCACCGGCUAACUUCGUGCCAGCAGCCGCGGUAAUACGAAGGGUGCAAGCGUUAAUCGGAAUUACUGGGCGUAAAGCGUGCGCAGGCGGUUUUGUAAGACAGGCGUGAAAUCCCCGGGCUCAACCUGGGAAUUGCCUCCAAAAAUGCAUGACUAGAGUACGGUAGAGGGUAGUGGAAGUUCCUGUGUAGAGGUGAAAUGCGUAGAUAUAGGAAGGAACACCAGUGGCGAAGGCGACUACCUGGACUGAUACUGACACUGAGGUGCGAAAGCGUGGGGAGCAAACAGGAUUAGAUACCCGAGUAGUCC